AAACGCUGAUGAACGCAAAGAACUUCUGCGAUGUACAACGCUACUGCGUUUCACUUUAUGUUUGCUAGGGGGCGGCCUUGUAACACUAACGCUCUCAUCCAUGUUCCGAAUGAGGUUAUUAUGUUAUGUACUCCCUAAAAACGUGCGAUUUCGUUGAUCGUCCGUUUGAUCUAUCUGUCACUAAAAUACACUUAUAUCGCUCGUUAUUAUCAAUCACCAAUAUUCACCGUUAUCUAAUGAUUUUCUAACAGAGAACUGGAAGAAGGUGGCCUGUUUUUUUUUCCGAUUUAUACGAAAAUCGUGGCAAUGUCCCCUGGGUCCGGAUGUUUGGACAGCAAGAGAAACGAUUAGAAAGAGAGAGUCUCCCCCCUGUAUCAUUUAGUCAGGAUUUGCAAGACCAGCCGGAAAGCAGCAAGAUGACAGAUAUUGAAUUGAUAUUGGGGCAAAAUUUCAAGGUGGAUCCAUCGAAUACAGGGUGACCCAUUUAUCAAAGGAUGAAUUUCGAAUUCAUGUGAAUUUAUUUUGACUCUAAUAAAU
Long non-coding RNA from Xenopus laevis (African clawed frog), 537 nucleotides. RefSeq lists it as uncharacterized. The record is from RefSeq and is a predicted model, not a curated record. NCBI's taxonomy places the organism in Eukaryota, Metazoa, Chordata, Amphibia, Anura, Pipidae. The transcript has 3 exons.